GUCCACGCCGUAAACGAUGUCGAUUUGGAGGCUGUGUCCUUGAGACGUGGCUUCCGGAGCUAACGCGUUAAAUCGACCGCCUGGGGAGUACGGCCGCAAGGUUAAAACUCAAAUGAAUUGACGGGGGCCCGCACAAGCGGUGGAGCAUGUGGUUUAAUUCGAUGCAACGCGAAGAACCUUACCUGGCCUUGACAUGUCUGGAAUCCUGCAGAGAUGCGGGAGUGCCUUCGGGAAUCAGAACACAGGUGCUGCAUGGCUGUCGU
Molecule: ribosomal RNA, 263 nt
Filed under: uncultured bacterium
Lineage: Bacteria
Description: partial 16S ribosomal RNA
Rfam family: Bacterial small subunit ribosomal RNA
Source: RNAcentral